AAACUAAGCCACUAAGCCACAAAGCCAAGAGCUAGGGUUUCAGAGUCUUGAUUAAUUUGGUGAUCAAACCCUAGAUCAUGAAUUAAUUUGUGAUCAGGAAGAUGGGUUUGCCAAGAAACUUAGUGAAAUGACUGUUGAGGGUUUACGCGAUGAAGAUGAGGGUUCUGAGUUGGUGCUUGCUAUCGAAACAAAGAGGAUUUUGAUAAAGUUGGGGGCUUUGGGGAGGGAAGUCGGGGUGAGAAUGAUCAAGGUGGUUUGGGGCUAUUUAGAGAUGGUGAUGAGUUUGGGAGUAAGUUGUGUGAUGAGAAUGAGAAUCGAGUCGGUUAUCGUGAUUGGAAAGGUUUUAUUAAUCAUGAGGCGAAAUUCGAAGAGAGAAAAAUUGAAAAGUUAGGCGGUGUGGAAGGAAAUGAAGGUGAUUAUAAGGAAAUGAAGGAAGGGGGUAAAGAUAAGGAUGGGAGUAAGUGGAGUGAGAUUGAGAAUGAAGGCGGUGAUGGUGAAUUGGAGGGUAUUAAAAAUGAGGCGGAAAUUAAAGAGAGAAACCCCGAAAAGCGUAUUGUGGUGGAAGGAAAUGAAGGAGACUUUAAAGAGAUGAAGGAACGGGAGGAUAACAAGGGGAGUAAGUGAGGUGAGAUUGAGAAUGUAGACGGUGAUCUUGAUUUGGAGGGCAUUAAAGAUGAGGCGGAAAUUGAAGAGAGAAACCUUGAAAAGAAGGGGAAAAAGGUGCUUUUAAGGAAAUAAAGGACGGGGAUAAUGAUGAGGGGAGUAAUAGGAGUGAGUUUGGGAAUGAAGGCAGUGAUUGUGAUUUGAAGGGUAUUGAAGAUGAAAUGGCAAUCGAAGAGAGAAACCCUGAAAAUCGUAGUGUUGUGGAAGGAAAUGAGAUUGGGAAUGAAGGCGGUGAUUGUGAUUUGAAGGGAAAAGAAGUCAUUGAGAACUAUGAAGAUGGUUCGGGUGUGAAUUGGGAUGAUGUCUUUGAGGACUAUGAAGAUGGUUGGGGUGUGAAUCGGGAUGAUGUCAUUGAGGACUAUGAAGAUGGUUGGGGUUAGAAUUGGGAUUAUGUCAUUGAGGUUUCUGAAGAUGGUUUGGGUGAGAAUUGGGAUGACGGUGGUGUAAGAGCUAAAGCUAAUUAAUCAUCCACUUGAGAGGAAAAACCAGGCUGCUAGGGAUACAUUUAAGCAAAAGGAGGAAUUUUAUGAUAAUGCGAACUUUUUGCAGGCUGCAAGGGAUACAUUCAAGCGAAAGGAGGAAACUUAUGAUAAGGCUUGACAAACAGAAUGCAAGUAUUACUUGUUACCAGGUGGUUGAAAAAAAGGAAAAGCUUGUAGGUAUAGUCAUGACAAAGGAAAAGUUGCAGUGACCCCAAAUUUAGAGUUGAACUUUAUUUGGUUUGCUGAUUAGAGUGGGGGAGAAAGAAUGUUCUUUCUUCAUGAAAACCAGUUGAUGCAAGUAUGGGGAAUACUGCAAGUUUCAUCAUCCGGAUUCUACAGCAGCGGGAGGAGGUUACACUACUUCACCAGGUAGAGGUAGGUCAACAGCAAGUGAUACAAAUGAGAGUGCUCCCUUCAGACCAGUUAUCUUUCUGCCAGAAAAUGCAGAAUGGAACGGAUAUCAGGCUCCUGCAUAAGGAAGAUCACAAGGGAUUCUGCCUGUUCCCCCAGCACUUGCGAUGACUAUUCUAGCAACUAGAUCCAGCUUUGAUGCACAUCCACAGGGCCAGGUGAAUGUAAACAAAUAUCCUGAACGACCUGGACUGCCCGAGUUCAGUUUCUACAUGAGAACGGGGGAUUGUAAGUUCAAAUCUUCUUGCAGGUUCCACCAACCCAGAAACCCGGAGUCGGCUCUCAGUGACCAAGGACUGCCUCUGCCACCUGUUGAGGUCUACAAGACUUUGAUGGAUGUUGUGAUGAUUUCGUGGUAUCAAGACUAUGGUUGCGGGAUAAUCUUUAUUACGGUGCCAAACUAAGUCCAACAUUAAAGAGGAAGCGUAUGGAUUAUCCUGAGCCAACCAAAAGAGACAAGUAUUUUUGAGUGUUCAUGUUCAGCUUCUCAGAAGUCAUGGUUCACGAAGAAUUAACGCGAUGUUUGCUUCAUCAACGCACUUUUGGCACAUCCAGUUUCUGUUUAACUUCUAUAGCAUGCUGAACACAGAAGACAUCCCAUCGAGAGGAUUCCUCAU
This is a long non-coding RNA of Daucus carota subsp. sativus, 2173 nucleotides long. RefSeq lists it as uncharacterized. The transcript has 6 exons. NCBI's taxonomy places the organism in Eukaryota, Viridiplantae, Streptophyta, Magnoliopsida, Apiales, Apiaceae. The record is from RefSeq and is a predicted model, not a curated record.